CUGACAGAAAAAAGUUGUUCAUUGUUGAGUUCAGUUCUCAUCUCAAACUCAUCAAGUCUGACAGAACUGAACCUGAGUUACAAUAAACUGCAGGAUUCAGGAGUGAAGCUUCUCUCUGAUGGACUGAAGAAUACAAACUGUAAACUGAAGAUAUUAAAUCUGGAGUCCUGCAGUAUUGGAGAUGAAGGUUUUGUUGCUUUGGCUUCAGCUCUGAGAUCAAACCCAUCACACCUGACUGAACUCAAUCUGAAGUUUAAUAAUCCAGGAGAUUCAGGAGUGAAGCUGAUCUCUGAUCUACUGAAGGAUCCACACUGUAAACUACACAAACUACAUAUUGAGUCUCGACUGUAUUAAUCAUCUACAAGAGCUACAGAUGACAAAUCAAAGAACAGACUUAAUUAAUAAAUUGGAAGAUCUGCUUACUGCCUCCUACUGGACAAACGUCAGCAGUGAGACAUCAGAGCUCAACAUGAGAGACGUCUGUUAGAGUUAAACACACAAACAUGUGGAUGAAGAUCUGCAUUCGUAAUCCAGCAGAAGAGUUUAAUGAAGUUCAAUGAUGUUUGUGUUGUGGAUAUGAUUCUUACACAGCUGAUAUAUGACACUCAGUGUAUCUCUUUCUGUCGCAUCUGAUGCUGUUUAAAGUCUUCUGAGCUCUGC
Molecule: non-coding RNA, 660 nt
Organism: Misgurnus anguillicaudatus (oriental weatherfish)
Lineage: Eukaryota; Metazoa; Chordata; Actinopteri; Cypriniformes; Cobitidae
Source: RefSeq, a predicted model, not a curated record